UUCAAACAAAACAUCAUUCAAAGCGAGCUUUAUUUGUUUUGCCUAUUGCAGCUGAACUUGCAUAGAUAUUCCCUUUGCCAUCAUCUUGACAUCUUAAAAGAAAUCUCAAGAGACUUCUACUGACAGCUUCAUGAGCUGACUGUGACGACACAACAUAUCCCAUGCAAUGGGAUAGGGAAAUGGAGAAUUCAGAUUUUACAAGAAAACUUACAAGAAAAAAAAAAGAAGCUCUUUAAGGGAGUUAUGCAUCUCAACUGUUUCAAAAUACAUUUUUCCGAUUACCAAAGGCCCUCGUGAAACUGCCUAACAUCAAGUUGCUAGCAAGGAAACAAGAGGAAGGCACUUGUGAAGGCAGAAAUCUGUCCCUCUACGUGUAUGAACUGUUUUCCUUUGCAUGCCUAAUCUAUGAGGUACUCUUAACUGCAUACACAACAGUGUUCACAGAGCGUAUCAUCUCUGACGAUAGAAAAGCUCACUUCGAGGACCGAUCAUGGAGUGAGUAUAACUUACUUAACGAUUGCUCUGCUGAUAUACUGGAGGAAGUGUGCGAGAAAUAGGAUCUAAUGUUACAAUAGAAAGACCGAUUGUGAGACACGCCCGGAAGAAAGUCUCAAUUUUCAACACAAAUUUACAGGACUAACUUUGCAAAUAAAAGCCUAGUGUUUCACGUGGCCUUGAUUCA
RNAcentral lists this long non-coding RNA (682 nucleotides) under Struthio camelus australis. RNAcentral describes it as "lncRNA (ENSSCUG00000016347.1)". Lineage: Eukaryota; Metazoa; Chordata; Aves; Struthioniformes; Struthionidae. The record is from RNAcentral.